Molecule: transfer RNA, 68 nt
Filed under: Phrynocephalus guttatus melanurus
Lineage: Eukaryota; Metazoa; Chordata; Lepidosauria; Squamata; Agamidae
Description: tRNA-Asp
Source: RNAcentral
AGAACUUUAGUAUACUACACAUUACAUGAUUCUGUCAGAAUCAAAACAUAGAUUCUCUAUAAGUUCUA